Molecule: long non-coding RNA, 1161 nt
Filed under: Monodelphis domestica (gray short-tailed opossum)
Lineage: Eukaryota; Metazoa; Chordata; Mammalia; Didelphimorphia; Didelphidae
Description: lncRNA (ENSMODG00000041017.1)
Source: RNAcentral
CUUAUUUUACACCCUUGCCUGAUUGAUUCAACAAGUCAAUUAAAGAUGUAUUCUUAUUUCAUAAAGGCAACACAUCAUAGACCAUAUUAUUACAUGCAUUAAUUGUGAUGGGGAUAGUUGAAUGAUCAAUUGAGUCAAAAAGUAUCUGCCACCUAUAUUUGACUGGGGGUGCAUAAACCCUUGUUCUAACACAUGAAAGAAAUUACAUUUACAAUUACAAAAAAAAAAAUUAAGAACAUCCAAUCCUUUAACAUCAAUCCAGUUGUAUUCACUUCAGUUAGUAUCUAAAUUGUCCAUCUUGAAAUAUUUUGUGCUUGUAUUUGUCAGCUUUGGCUUUCCAUGUUCCACAUUCGAAAUUCAUAGAAUUUCUGUGAAUUCAUAAAAUUCAUAGAACAUAGAAUAUGUGAGUCGUCAUUGUGACAAUGUGAAUGACUAGAAAAAAGAAGGCUUAGAGAGAACAUGGUAACUGUCUUCAGGCACUUAGAAGAGUUUCAUGUAGAAGAGGGAUUAGACUUGUUUAACUUGGCCCCAGAGAGAAGAAGUAGGGGCAAUGAAGAGACAUUACAAAGUUUGUUUAGGUCUAUAUAAAAUGUUCCUACGGAAUAAAACAGUCCAAAAGUGACAUGGGCUUCUACCAGAGGCAGUGAUUUAUCAGUCACUGGAGCCUGGAUGGUUAUCUGUGAGCUCUGUACAAGGGUUUCCUAUGCAAGUAUAAAUGGAGUACUCAUAUCUCUUCUAGAGUGUGGAUAUUUGCUCAUUCUGCAAUCUUGCAAAAGUACCAUAGAUAGAUCAUUGAAUGCCAAGCAUUAUCUAACACAGGACAAUCAAACGUAUCUGUGAAUAACGGUCACUGAUCUGCGCUGCUGGAAAGACAGACCCAGAGGAAGUAUUUGUUCCUGAGUCGGGGAAGAGAAUUUUGCAGCUGGGAAAUAAGGAACUCUCUGGUUGAAUGAGGGGAAAAUGGAUUUCUUCAGAACAAUCAUCAAUAGUGUUUAUGAUGAGGGUAAGCAAAAAGACCUCGAUGAAGAUGAAGAUUUCCUCUUGUUGCCAACAUCUGUUACAAAGGAUAAAGAAAUGGUAAAUUUGAAAAUCAGCAUAUACUUUGUCGAACUGCUACAAAUGGAAACUAGUGAUGGUUGUGGGGGAGGAAGAAGAGACUGA